CCUGCGGGCGACAUCCCUCCCCUCUUCUUUGGCAGACACUUCCCCGCCCCAUUUCGAGGCCUUCCCAUCAAACCCCAGUAGCAAUGUCGUCCAACGACCUGAGGGAGGAAGCUCUCUCUACAGAGAAGACCCAACCCCUGAAGCACGUCCAGAGUCCUGGCGUGGUUGAAACAAUGGAGCGGGUGGAAGAGCCAAAGAAAACCCUGUGGGAGAAAGUGAAAACGCCCGGCUCGGUAUACCAGAUUCUUAUCUCUGCUGCCAUCGCCAUCGCGAUCGGUUUCGCUGUGAACACAACGGUGGACAAAGUGCCUGUUGCCGCUGUCGAUCUCUGCGGCAUUCCUGGCCGAAUCUGGUUGCGCGCUCUCAAAGCUAUUGUCCUACCGUUGAUCGUGGUCUCUCUGAUCCUGGCCGUUCAGCGGCUGCGGGAGAUGUCGCGCGGUGGAGCACUUCUAGCUCGCUGGACUAUUGGAUACUACCUUUUUACCACGCUGGUCGCAAUCAUGCACAGCACAAUCCUCGUGGCA
Molecule: small RNA, 524 nt
Filed under: Histoplasma ohiense
Lineage: Eukaryota; Fungi; Ascomycota; Eurotiomycetes; Onygenales; Ajellomycetaceae
Description: hypothetical lncRNA
Source: RNAcentral